UCUCAAAUCAGGUAGGACUACCCGCUGAACUUAAGCAUAUCAAUAAGCGGAGGAAAAGAAACUAACAAGGAUUCCCCUAGUAACGGCGAGUGAAGCGGGAAGAGCUCAAAUUUAAAAUCUGGCGGUGUAUUCCGUCCGAGUUGUAGUCUAGAGAAGCAUCAUCCGCGCUGGACCAUGUACAAGUCUCUUGGAACAGAGCGUCACAGAGGGUGAGAAUCCCGUCCUUGACAUGGACUCCCAGUGCUUUGUGUUGUGCUCUCGACGAGUCGAGUUGUUUGGGAAUGCAGCUCAAAAUGGGUGGUAAAUUCCAUCUAAAGCUAAAUAUUGGCGAGAGACCGAUAGCGAACAAGUACCGUGAGGGAAAGAUGAAAAGCACUUUGGAGAGAGAGUUAAACAGUACGUGAAAUUGUUGAAAUGGAAACGCUUGAAGUCAGUCGCGUUCUCUGGGAUUCAGCCUUGCUUCUGCUUGGUGCACUUCCUAGUCUACGGGCCAGCAUGGAUUUCGACCGAUGGAAAAAGGCUUGGGGAAUGUGGCACCUCCGGGUGUGUUAUGACCCCUCGUCGACAUACAUCGGUUGGGUAGCGGACCAUCGGUCGC
RNAcentral lists this ribosomal RNA (598 nucleotides) under uncultured Basidiomycota. Its description in RNAcentral is "LSU rRNA". It matches the Rfam family "Eukaryotic large subunit ribosomal RNA", at positions 1 to 603 of the family's 3401-position model. Lineage: Eukaryota; Fungi; Basidiomycota. The record is from RNAcentral.